RNAcentral lists this long non-coding RNA (526 nucleotides) under Homo sapiens (human). RNAcentral describes it as "PREDICTED lncRNA (TCONS_00087168)". Lineage: Eukaryota; Metazoa; Chordata; Mammalia; Primates; Hominidae. The record is from RNAcentral.
CCUUAGUCUCCUGAGUGGCUGGGACCACAGACGCACACCAUCAUGCCCAGAUGGAAUCUCACUCUGUGAGUCUCACUCUAUCGCCCAGGCUGGAGUGCAGUGGCACAAUCUCAGCUCACUGCAACCUCUGCCUCCAGAGCUCAAGCAAUCCGCCCACCUUGACCUCCCAAAAUGCUGGGAUUACCGACCUGUGUGUACUUUAUAAAUUAAACUUUAUCAUAGGCCUGCAUAUAUAGAAAAAUAUAUAGUCUAUACAGUGUAGAGUGUGCUACUAUCUGUCCUUUCAGACAUCCACCAGGGGUCUUGAAGCUUAUCCCCCAGAAGAUGAGGUGGGAACUACUGUAAAUAAUUUUGACCCUUUGAAAUCUGAUGAGACUUGUUUUACUUCCUAACAUAUGGUAUAUUUUGUGAAUGUUACGUGUUUAUUUGAAAACUUUAAUUCCUGUCAGUAACAGCUUGAAGUCUUCAGUACAAAGCGUCUGAACAUCUUUCAUUCCGUACAAUGCAUUCUGUAUUCUGUUUUGUG